GCCUUCCUUCCUUCCAAGUCAAUGGCAUUACGGCAGGGAUGCAGUUGGCCUUAAGAACAAACUCUUGCCUUAAUUGCUGGAGAAAUUAGUCAUUAGGAAAGCAAACAGCCCAGCAGUUCCGAGAGUCAGUAGUACAGAGAACAGAUAAAACUAAUACUUUCCAAACCACCGCAACUUUUCUUUAAUGCUUUUAUGGAUCUAAUCUUUUAAAUUGAUUUUAAAGAAAACACACAGAAGUUCUUAGCCCUAGCCCUGACCUGUUAAGCUUUGCCUACCAGCCAGCACCGAUGACUAAGUUGUAAUCUGCUAAAGCAGCAGUGUGUACAAAGGGACGAGCCUUCAGCUGGAGCAGUGGAAGGCUGCCACCAGCAGCUCCACUGACUAAUGUGCAAACUGGGCAAAGCUUAUUUAUGUACUUGGUUAACCCCUUCUCUUCAGAAACAAGGAAAAACACCCUGCCUUUUGUAGGUUAACUGAUGCUAAUGCUACAUCCCCUCUGCAGUAGCCAGAUCUCUGAGGAUCUCAGUUGGAUGGACUGCAGUCAUCGAAAAGGGUGUCAGCCCCGUCCUCCACCAAUGCGACAUGAGGUCAUUUUACCCAAACCACAGGGUUAUACACUGUUAUAUCAGCCAAAGGUCAAAUUGCUUCAGUAAGGAGAAAAAAAAAAAAAAAAAGGUAAGGAUAAUUUUGCAAGGUUGUACUUGUG
Molecule: long non-coding RNA, 706 nt
Organism: Cygnus olor (mute swan)
Lineage: Eukaryota; Metazoa; Chordata; Aves; Anseriformes; Anatidae
Exons: 3
Source: RefSeq, a predicted model, not a curated record